RNAcentral lists this transfer RNA (109 nucleotides) under Enterococcus faecium EnGen0159. Its description in RNAcentral is "tRNA-Ile". It matches the Rfam family "tRNA". Rfam says of the family: Transfer RNA (tRNA) molecules are approximately 80 nucleotides in length. Their secondary structure includes four short double-helical elements and three loops (D, anti-codon, and T loops). The record is from RNAcentral. Lineage: Bacteria; Bacillati; Bacillota; Bacilli; Lactobacillales; Enterococcaceae.
GGGCCUAUAGCUCAGCUGGUUAGAGCGCACGCCUGAUAAGCGUGAGGUCGAUGGUUAGAGCGCACGCCUGAUAAGCGUGAGGUCGAUGGUUCGAGUCCAUUUAGGCCCA